CGAUGCCUAAGACAUGCAAGUCGAACGGAGUGGCCCAUUGAAGACGGAGUGCUUGCACAAAGUUGGAUUUGGAUUCCCACUCAGUGGCAGACGGGUGAGUAACACGUGGGUAAUCUACCCUAGAGACUGGGACAACAGUUGGAAACGACUGCUAAUACCGGAUAAUUCAUAUUUAGAUAACUAGAUAUGCUAAAAGGAGCCUUUAAAGCUUCACUCUAGGAUGAGCUUGCGGCGCAUUAGCUAGUUGGUGGGGUAAUGGCCUACCAAGGCAACGAUGCGUAUCCGGGCUGAGAGGCUAAACGGACACAUUGGGACUGAGACACGGCCCAAACUCCUACGGGAGACAGCAGUUAGGAAUAUUCGUCAAUGGGGGGAAACCCUGAACGAGCAAUGCCGCGUGAGUGAUGAACCGGUCUUAUAGAUUGUAAAGCUCUGUUGUAAGAGACGAAACCACAGUAUAGGAAAUGCUACUGUGCUGACGGUAUCUUACCAGAAAGCCCCGGCUAACUACGUGCCAGCCGCGGC
Molecule: ribosomal RNA, 525 nt
Filed under: uncultured bacterium
Lineage: Bacteria
Description: bacterial SSU rRNA
Rfam family: Bacterial small subunit ribosomal RNA
Source: RNAcentral